Molecule: long non-coding RNA, 305 nt
Filed under: Elaeis guineensis (African oil palm)
Lineage: Eukaryota; Viridiplantae; Streptophyta; Magnoliopsida; Arecales; Arecaceae
Description: long non-coding RNA (EGUI_LNC012015)
Source: RNAcentral
UUAGCAUUAGAAUUUUUGGACGCCCCAUGUGGUGUGGCAUGUCAGUGGUGUGGCACCCCUCCUAAGAUCCUAAUUCCUUCUUCCCUAUAAAAGGAGUCCAAAGGUUUGAUGCCCAAAUAUAUAGAAGAGAAAAUAGUUUUCAAAAGCCGAGCCUCAUCUCUCUUCCUCUUCCCUACUCCUCCUGUUCUUCUUUCCAUUCUUCUUUGUUCUCAAGAGGGUCUAUGAGAUUUGAGAAGAAGAUACUUCAGCCAUCAAAGAGGAGAUCUCUGCAAGAAAGCUAGCAUUCUGGAGAGAUCACCUGCCUC